GGCGUCGUACCCCAACGGCAGAGGGAACCGGUUCAGGACCGGUCCAGUGUGCGUUCGAAUCGCACCGACGCUA
Molecule: transfer RNA, 73 nt
Organism: Streptacidiphilus jiangxiensis
Lineage: Bacteria; Bacillati; Actinomycetota; Actinomycetes; Kitasatosporales; Streptomycetaceae
Rfam family: tRNA
About the family: Transfer RNA (tRNA) molecules are approximately 80 nucleotides in length. Their secondary structure includes four short double-helical elements and three loops (D, anti-codon, and T loops).
Source: Rfam